CAAGAAACGAGGCUACGUGCCCCGCUCUUUACCUUGCCUACUGCACUAUCUGUUGCUUCCUGGCGGCGUUUGCCUGCCGCCAGGGACAUUGUAAAGCCCUGUAUAAGCAUUAAAAAACUGAAACAAACCGAAUCGUA
This 137-nucleotide unclassified non-coding RNA is filed under the name soil metagenome. RNAcentral describes it as "partial internal transcribed spacer 1". The record is from RNAcentral.